Sturnus vulgaris (Common starling) is the source of this 90-nucleotide non-coding RNA. The record is from RefSeq and is a predicted model, not a curated record. Lineage: Eukaryota; Metazoa; Chordata; Aves; Passeriformes; Sturnidae.
AACCCAUCAAAAGUUGAUUUGAACCCAUCAAAAUUGGUCUAAACCCAUCAAAAUUGGUCUGAACCCAUCCAAAGUUGGCUUAAAACCAUC